This 391-nucleotide ribosomal RNA is filed under the name uncultured bacterium. RNAcentral describes it as "bacterial SSU rRNA". It matches the Rfam family "Bacterial small subunit ribosomal RNA", at positions 505 to 898 of the family's 1533-position model. The record is from RNAcentral.
GUGUCAGCAGCCGCGGUAAUACGGAGGGUGCAAGCGUUAUCCGGAUUCACUGGGUUUAAAGGGUGCGUAGGUGGAUUGGUAAGUCCGUGGUGAAAUCCCCGAGCUUAACUUGGGAACUGCCAUGGAUACUAUUAAUCUUGAAUGUCGUGGAGAUGAGCGGAAUAUGUCAUGUAGCGGUGAAAUGCUUAGAUAUGACAUAGAACACCAAUUGCGAAGGCAGCUCGUUACGCGAAUAUUGACACUGAUGCACGAAAGCGUGGGGAUCAAACAGGAUUAGAUACCCUGGUAGUCCACGCCCUAAACGAUGGAUACUCGACAUACGCGAUACACUGUGUGUGUCUGAGCGAAAGCAUUAAGUAUCCCACCUGGGAAGUACGAUCGCAAGAUUGAA